RNAcentral lists this ribosomal RNA (350 nucleotides) under uncultured bacterium. Its description in RNAcentral is "partial 16S ribosomal RNA". It matches the Rfam family "Bacterial small subunit ribosomal RNA", at positions 338 to 706 of the family's 1533-position model. The record is from RNAcentral.
CCUACGGGUGGCAGCAGUGGGGGAUAUUGCACAAUGGAGGAAACUCUGAUGCAGCGACGCCGCGUGAGGGAAGACGGUCUUCGGAUUGUAAACCUCUGUCUUUGGGGAAGAAAAUGACGGUACCCAAAGAGGAAGCUCUGGCUAACUAGGUGCCAGCAGCGGCGGUAAUACGUAGGGAGCGAGCGUUGUCCGGAUUUACUGGGUGUGAAGGGAGCGUAGGCGGGCGAGAAAGUUGAAGGUUAAAUUUACCGGGGAAACUGGUAGCUGCGUUCAAAACUGGUAGUCUUGAGUGAAGUAGAGGGAGGCGGAAUUCGUGGUGGAGCGGGGAGAUGCUGAGAUAUAAGGAGGAA